RNAcentral lists this ribosomal RNA (495 nucleotides) under uncultured bacterium. RNAcentral describes it as "partial 16S ribosomal RNA". It matches the Rfam family "Bacterial small subunit ribosomal RNA", at positions 28 to 507 of the family's 1533-position model. The record is from RNAcentral.
GACGAACGCUGGCGGCGUGCCUAAUACAUGCAAGUAGAACGCUGAAGGAGGAGCUUGCUUCUCUGGAUGAGUUGCGAACGGGUGAGUAACGCGUAGGUAACCUGCCUGGUAGCGGGGGAUAACUAUUGGAAACGAUAGCUAAUACCGCAUAAGAGUAGAUGUCGCAUGACAUUUGCUUAAAAGGUGCAAUUUCAUCACUACCAGAUGGACCUGCGUUGUAUUAGCUAGUUGGUGAGGUAACGGCUCACCAAGGCAACGAUACAUAGCCGACCUGAGAGGGGGAUCGGCCACACUGGGACUGAGACACGGCCCAGACUCCUACGGGGGGCAGCAGUAGGGAAUCUUCGGAAAUGGACGGAAGUCUGACCGAGCAACGCCGCGUGAGUGAAGAAGGUUUUCGGAUCGUAAAGCUCUGUUGUAAGAGAAGAACGAGUGUGAGAGUGGAAAGUUCACACUGUGACGGUAUCUUACCAGAAAGGGACGGCUAACUACGUG